UAUCGGAUUGAUACUAAGCCAUGCGAGUCAUUGUAGCAAUACAAGGCAUACGGCUCAGUAACGCGUAGUCAACCUAACCUAUGGACGGGAAUAACCUCGGGAAACUGAGAAUAAUGCCCGAUAGAACAUUAUGCCUGGAAUGGUUUAUGUUCCAAAUGAUUUAUCGCCGUAGGAUGGGACUGCGGCCUAUCAGUUUGUUGGUGAGGUAAUGGCCCACCAAGACUAUUACAGGUACGGGCUCUGAGAGGAGUAGCCCGGAGAUGGGUACUGAGACACGGACCCAGGCCCUAUGGGGCGCAGCAGGCGAGAAAACUUUGCAAUGUGCGAAAGCACGACAAGGUUAAUCCGAGUGGUUUCUGCUAAAGGAACCUUUUGUCAGUCCUAGAAACACUGAUGAAUAAGGGGUGGGCAAGUUCUGGUGUCAGCCGCCGCGGUAAAACCAGCACCUCAAGUGGUCAGGAUGAUUAUUGGGCCUAAAGCAUCCGUAGCCGGCUCUGUAAGUUUUCGGUUAAAUCUGUACGCUCAACGUACAGGCUGCCGGGAAUACUGCAAAGCUAGGGAGUGGGAGAGGUAGACGGUACUCGGUAGGAAGGGGUAAAAUCCUUUGAUCUAUUGAUGACCACCUGUGGCGAAGGCGGUCUACCAGAACACGUCCGACGGUGAGGGAUGAGAGCUGGGGGAGCAAACCGGAUUAGAUACCCGGGUAGUCCCAGCUGUAAACCAUGCAAACUCAGUGAUGCAUUGGCUUGUGGCCAAUGCAGUGCUGCAGGGAAGCCGUUAAGUUUGCCGCCUGGGAAGUACGUACGCAAGUAUGAAACUUAAAGGAAUUGGCGGGGGAGCACCACAAGGGGUGAAGCCUGCGGUUCAAUUGGAGUC
RNAcentral lists this ribosomal RNA (876 nucleotides) under uncultured archaeon. RNAcentral describes it as "bacterial SSU rRNA". It matches the Rfam family "Archaeal small subunit ribosomal RNA", at positions 31 to 913 of the family's 1478-position model. The record is from RNAcentral.